This 584-nucleotide ribosomal RNA is filed under the name Bacillus pumilus. Its description in RNAcentral is "partial 16S ribosomal RNA". The record is from RNAcentral. Lineage: Bacteria; Bacillati; Bacillota; Bacilli; Caryophanales; Bacillaceae.
UUGGACACGCAACACUAAGGGGCGGAAAACCCCCUAACACUUAGCACUCAUCGUUUACGGCGUGGACUUACCAGGGUAUCUAAUCCUGUUCGCUCCCCACGCUUUCGCUCCUCAGCGUCAGUUACAGACCAGAGAGUCGCCUGGGGGCCACUGGUGUUCCUCCACAUCUCUACGCAUUUCACCGCUACACGUGGAAUUCUCACUCUCCUCUUCUGCACUCAAGUUUCCCAGUUUCCAAUGACCCUCCCCGGUUGAGCCGGGGGCUUUCACAUCAGACUUAAGAAACCGCCUGCGAGCCCUUUACGCCCAAUAAUUCCGGACUGUUUUUUUUUGUCCACCUACGUAUUACCGCGGCUGCUGGCACGUAGUUAGCCGUGGCUUUCUGGUUAGUGUACCGUUCAAGGUGCGAGCAGUUACUCUCGCACUUGUUCUUCCCUAACAACANAGCUUUACNAUCCGAAAACCUUCAUCACUCACNCGGCGUUGCUCCGUCGACUUUCGUUCCAUNGCNGAANAUUCCCUACUGCUGCCCUCCCCUUAGGAUUGGGCCNUUCAUCCNUUGGCAUCCCCUCUAGUGCCCUUCU